UGCCAGCAGCCGCGGUAAUACGAAGGUCCCGAGCGUUGUUCGGAUUUACUGGGCGUAAAGAGUCUGUAGGCGGUUAAGUAAGUCAGAUGUGAAAUCCCGGGGCUCAACUCCGGAACUGCAUCCGAUACUGCUUAACUAGAGUGUUGGAGGGGAAACUGGAAUUCUCGGUGUAGCAGUGAAAUGCGUAGAUAUCGAGAGGAACACUAGUGGCGAAGGCGAGUUUCUGGACAACUACUGACGCUGAGAGACGAAGGCCAGGGUAGCGAACAGGAUUAGAUA
This 279-nucleotide ribosomal RNA is filed under the name uncultured bacterium. Its description in RNAcentral is "partial 16S ribosomal RNA". It matches the Rfam family "Bacterial small subunit ribosomal RNA", at positions 506 to 784 of the family's 1533-position model. The record is from RNAcentral.